UACGGGGGGGGCAAGCGUUGUUCGGAAUUACUGGGCGUAAAGGGCGCGUAGGCGGCCUGUUAAGUCGAACGUGAAAUCCCCGGGCUCAACCCGGGAACUGCGUCCGAAACUGGCAGGCUUGAAUCCGGGAGAGGGAUGUGGAAUUCCAGGUGUAGCGGUGAAAUGCGCAGAUAUCAGGAAGAACACCCGUGGCGAAAGCGGCUCUCUGGAACGGUACUGACGCUGAGACGCGAAAGCGUGGGGAGCGAACAGG
This 253-nucleotide ribosomal RNA is filed under the name uncultured bacterium. Its description in RNAcentral is "partial 16S ribosomal RNA". It matches the Rfam family "Bacterial small subunit ribosomal RNA", at positions 524 to 776 of the family's 1533-position model. The record is from RNAcentral.